RNAcentral lists this ribosomal RNA (253 nucleotides) under uncultured bacterium. RNAcentral describes it as "partial 16S ribosomal RNA". It matches the Rfam family "Bacterial small subunit ribosomal RNA", at positions 524 to 776 of the family's 1533-position model. The record is from RNAcentral.
GACGAACCGAGCGAACGUUGUUCGGAAUCACUGGGCUUAAAGGGCGCGUAGGCGGGUGCUCAAGUCCGUGGUGAAAUCCUCCGGCUCAACCGGAGAACUGCCUCGGAUACUGGGCGUCUCGAGUGUGGUAGGGGUAUGCGGAACUAUCGGUGGAGCGGUGAAAUGCGUAGAGAUCAGGAAGAACAUCGGUGGCGAAGGCGCUCUGCUGGACCAUAACUGACACUCAGGGACGAAAGCUAGGGGAGCGAAUGGG